Molecule: long non-coding RNA, 903 nt
Filed under: Marmota monax (woodchuck)
Lineage: Eukaryota; Metazoa; Chordata; Mammalia; Rodentia; Sciuridae
Source: RNAcentral
AAAUAGUAAUUCUCUAUGUUCCUUCAUUCAACAGAUAUUUAUUGAGUACCUACUCUGUGUCAGACACACUCCUGCUAACAAUACAACAAUAAAUAAAACACAAAACAUGGGGAAGCCAAAAAUGCAAUAUUAGAAUCUUCUGCUGGGAAGGUAAAACGUGAAAAGGUCCCUAUGCAGGGUCUAAGAACAACAAAGGCAUUCAUGGUGAGGAUAUGGAGAAACAGAAGUCCUCAGAUGUUACUGACAGCAACAAAAACUGAUAACAACCACUUAGGAAAACAAUUUGGCAGUUUCUUUAAAAAAAAAAAAUCAAACACGAACUUACCAUAUGACCCAGCGAUCCCCUCCUGUGUCUAGUCAAGAAAAAUAAAAACAUGUCUACAUAAAGACUGGUACAUAAAUGUUCACAGCAGCAUCAUUCAAAAUAGCCAAAAAGUGGAACCAGCCCAAAUGUGUGUCAACUGGUGAAUGAGUAAACAAAAUGAGGAAUAUACCCACUCACUGGAAUACUAUUCAACAGUAAAAAGAAGCAAAAUACUGAUACAUGCUGCAACAUGGAUGAACUUCAAAGGCACCACCAAAUGAAAGUUGCCAGAUACAAAAGACACAUUGUAUGAUUCUAUUGAUAUGAAAUGUCAGUACAGAUGUUUUUAAAAGGGAGAUGGGGUGUAGGUAGAACCACCUGAAGUACACAGAUGAUAGCUUUUUGAUUUGGUACAACUAAGGUUUAUUAACCCUAACACACAUCAGCCCCCGGGAGAAAUAGCAAAUUGUUUUCUUCUUUAAUAAAUGCCUUGAAGGACAAUCCAAGGGAACAGUCCCAAAGCAGAUGUGUUGCUGCUGGGAAAAUACUCCCUGAGGAGUGUUAAAGCAGGGAUGGGCCUGCCAGGGUCUUGGCCAGAG